GACGAACGCUGGCGGCGUGCUUAACACAUGCAAGUCGAACGGAAAGGCCCUGCUUUUGUGGGGUGCUCGAGUGGCGAACGGGUGAGUAACACGUGAGUAACCUGCCCUUGACUUUGGGGUAACUUCAGGAAACUGGGGCUAAUACCGGAUAGGAGCUCCUGCUGCAUGGUGGGGGUUGGAAAGUUUCGGCGGUUGGGGAUGGACUCGCGGCUUAUCAGCUUGUUGGUGGGGUAGUGGCUUACCAAGGCUUUGACGGGUAGCCGGCCUGAGAGGGUGACCGGCCACAUUGGGACUGAGAUACGGCCCAGACUCCUACGGGAGGCAGCAGUGGGGAAUAUUGCACAAUGGGCGGAGGCCUGAUGCAGCAACGCCGCGUGCGGGAUGACGGCCUUCGGGUUGUAAACCGCUUUCGCCUGUGACGAAGCGUGAGUGACGGUAAUGGGUAAAGAAGCACCGGCUAACUACGUG
Molecule: ribosomal RNA, 468 nt
Filed under: uncultured bacterium
Lineage: Bacteria
Description: partial 16S ribosomal RNA
Rfam family: Bacterial small subunit ribosomal RNA
Source: RNAcentral